UAGGGAAUCUUCCGCAAUGGGCGAAAGCCUGACGGAGCAACGCCGCGUGAGUGAUGAAGGUCUUCGGAUCGUAAAACUCUGUUAUCAGGGAAGAACAUAUGUGUAAGUAACUAUGCACGUCUUGACGGUAUCUAAUCAGAAAGCCACGGCUAACUACGUGCCAGCAGCCGCGGUAAUACGUAGGUGGCAAGCGCUAUCCGGAAUUAUUGGGCGUAAAGCGCGCGUAGGCGGUUUUUUAAGUCUGAUGUGAAAGCCCACGGCUCAACCGUGGAUGGUCAUUGGAAACUGGAAAACUAGAGUGCAGAAGAGGAAAGUGGAAUUCCAUGUGUAGAGGUGAAAUGCGCAGAGAUAUGGAGGAACACCAGUGGCGAAGGCGACUUUCUGGUCUGUAACUGACGCUAAUGUGCGAAAGCGUGGAGAUCAAGCAGG
RNAcentral lists this ribosomal RNA (429 nucleotides) under Actinomycetes bacterium. RNAcentral describes it as "Actinobacteria bacterium partial 16S ribosomal RNA". It matches the Rfam family "Bacterial small subunit ribosomal RNA", at positions 355 to 776 of the family's 1533-position model. Lineage: Bacteria; Bacillati; Actinomycetota; Actinomycetes. The record is from RNAcentral.